RNAcentral lists this ribosomal RNA (332 nucleotides) under uncultured Pseudomonadota bacterium. RNAcentral describes it as "bacterial SSU rRNA". It matches the Rfam family "Bacterial small subunit ribosomal RNA", at positions 568 to 898 of the family's 1533-position model. The record is from RNAcentral. Lineage: Bacteria; Pseudomonadati; Pseudomonadota.
UAGGUAGGUGGUCUCAUUUGUCAGGGGUGAAAGCCUUGGGCUUAACUCAAGAAGUGCCCCUGAAACGGUGAGACUAGAGUGCUGGAGAGGGUCGUGGAAUUCCCGGUGUAGCGGUGAAAUGCGUAGAGAUCGGGAGGAACACCAGAGGCGAAGGCGGCGACCUGGACAGUUACUGACACUCAACUACGAAAGCGUGGGGAGCAAACAGGAUUAGAUACCCUGGUAGUCCACGCUGUAAACGAUGGGUACUAGGCUUGGUGGGUCUUGACCCCUGCUGAGCCGGCGCUAACGCAAUAAGUACCCCGCCUGGGAAGUACGGUCGCAAGACUAAA